AAAUGUUUAUAAUUCAAAUAAAAAAAAAUAAUAAAUUUACUUUUAAAUUAAAUAAAAACUGUUAAAAUAAAUAAUUAUAAUAAAAUAUAAAAAAACAAUUAAUUCAAUUAAAAAUUUUAAAAUUUAAAUAUAGACCUACCAUAAUAAUAAAAUUAAUUUUUAAUUAAAAUGAUUAAAACAAAUAAAAAUUUAAACAUGACAACAAUAAAUAAAAAUAAACUUAUUAAACUUUAUUGUGCAAUAUCAAAAUUUUUGAACAAAUUACUCUAAAUUUAUUUUACCGCCAAAUUAAAUAAUUUUUAAUUAAAAUAUCUCUUCGUUUAAAACUAAAUAUAUUUAAUUUUUAUAUUUAGGUUAUCUAAUCCUAAUUUAAUUAAUAACUAAAAUUAAUUAAUUUAAAUUUUUUUAUAAAAAAAGUAUAUUUCACCAAAACAAUUUAGACUAUUAAACAAAAACAAAUUAAUAAUUAAUCAUUAAAUAUUAAAAAAAAAAUAUAAUUAUUUCCUAUAUGU
RNAcentral lists this ribosomal RNA (512 nucleotides) under Parlatoria sp. CCG-AL-38. RNAcentral describes it as "partial 12S ribosomal RNA". Lineage: Eukaryota; Metazoa; Arthropoda; Insecta; Hemiptera; Diaspididae. The record is from RNAcentral.